AGCCCCUACGGGGGGCAGCAGUGGGGAAUAUUGCACAAUGGGGGAAACCCUGAUGCAGCGACGCCGCGUGAGUGAAGAAGUAUUUCGGUAUGUAAAGCUCUAUCAGCAGGGAAGAUAAUGACGGUACCUGACUAAGAAGCCCCGGCUAACUACGUGCCAGCAGCCGCGGUAAUACGUAGGGGGCAAGCGUUAUCCGGAUUUACUGGGUGUAAAGGGAGCGUAGGCGGCGAUGCAAGUCAGAAGUGAAAGCCCGGGGCUCAACUCCGGGACUGCUUUUGAAACUGUAUGGCAAGAUUGCAGGAGAG
Molecule: ribosomal RNA, 305 nt
Filed under: uncultured bacterium
Lineage: Bacteria
Description: bacterial SSU rRNA
Rfam family: Bacterial small subunit ribosomal RNA
Source: RNAcentral